UACGUAGGGUGCAAGCGUUGUCCGGAAUUAUUGGGCGUAAAGAGCUCGUAGGCGGUCUGUCGCGUCGGCUGUGAAAACUCGGGGCUCAACCCCGAGCCUGCAGUCGAUACGGGCAGACUAGAGUGCUGUAGGGGAGACUGGAAUUCCUGGUGUAGCGGUGAAAUGCGCAGAUAUCAGGAGGAACACCGGUGGCGGAAGGCGGGUCUCUGGGCAGUAACUGACGCUGGAGGAGCGAAAGCGUGGGGAGCAAACAGG
Molecule: ribosomal RNA, 255 nt
Filed under: uncultured bacterium
Lineage: Bacteria
Description: partial 16S ribosomal RNA
Rfam family: Bacterial small subunit ribosomal RNA
Source: RNAcentral